RNAcentral lists this ribosomal RNA (468 nucleotides) under uncultured bacterium. RNAcentral describes it as "partial 16S ribosomal RNA". It matches the Rfam family "Bacterial small subunit ribosomal RNA", at positions 28 to 507 of the family's 1533-position model. The record is from RNAcentral.
GACGAACGCUGGCGGCGUGCUUAACACAUGCAAGUCGAACGGAAAGGCCCUGCUUUUGUGGGGUGCUCGAGUGGCGAACGGGUGAGUAACACGUGAGUAACCUGCCCUUGACUUUGGGAUAACUUCAGGAAACUGGGGCUAAUACCGGAUAGGAGCUCCUGCUGCAUGGUGGGGGUUGGAAAGUUUCGGCGGUUGGGGAUGGACUCGCGGCUUAUCAGCUUGUUGGUGGGGUAGUGGCUUACCAAGGCUUUGACGGGUAGCCGGCCUGAGAGGGUGACCGGCAACAUUGGGACUGAGAUACGGCCCAGACUCCUACGGUAGGCAGCAGUGGGGAAUAUUGCACAGUGGGCGGGAGCCUGAUGCAGCAACGCCGCGUGCGGGAUGACGGCCUUCGGGUUGUAAACCGCUUUCGCCUGUGACGAAGCGUGAGUGACGGUAAUGGGUAAAGAAGCACCGGCUAACUACGUG